CACAGGACGUGCCUCGUGGCCCGCCUUAUUUUGCCUUAUUUUGCCUUUGAUUGGCUUACGCUGUUACUCUUACCCUAACCCUAACCAAUCCACACCCCUCAUGCCCAAACCUAACUACGUCGACACGUCGAGAAGAUCUGACCUAGCAAUUGCGACUUAUUUUUCAAGAUGGAUUCACGGGUACACAUCAGUGUAAUUCAAAAAAAUAACACACUGCGGCUGACACGGUGCACGGUGUGCUGUACCAAAUAUCACUGUCCCCUUUGCCCCACUUCAUUGUACAAGCCCCGGUGUAGGGCAAAGGUUUUGCAGCACAUGGAGGUGCAUGUAAAAAAUGCCAUUCAACAUGAAGAUUUCUUCAUAACAAAAUGCCACCAGGCCUGCAGGAGUGGAAGCAGUGGCCACUUCCACUGCCCUAUCUGCCUCAGGACCACAAUAAAAAGGCAGGAUACCCUGAGGCAUUUGCAGAUCUGUAGGCCGCCUCUCCAUGACGCCCAGGUAGACGCUGAUGCUGACUGCAAAGAGGAGGGCAUCACUUCCCAGACCGAGGAGUGCAAAGCAGGAUCUGUGGACCUACCUCAUCUCAGCAAGGACAAACUGCCUGUAUCGGUACAUGAUAGUGAAAUGCAAGAACCAGGAGAUCCAGCGGAGAGACCCCAAGACACAUCGCCAAAAUCCGUCUUGCUAUUCAGUCCUAGCUUGGACAACCCUCCCUGCAGAGUGCCCCGUGCAAAGCUGCCAAAUGUACUUUGUCCUCACUGCAAUGCGCAGUUCCUAAGAAAAAAUUUAAAGAAGCACCUGUACAGAAAACACUCCGAUAAAGCUGUGGGAGACAUCGCUGCAAAUUCCCAUGCUGAUGUUGAUGAGAGGGAUAACAAAGACGCUGUGAAAAAGUCGUUUCUUGGACCACUUUUGCCACUUGAUCUCCAAAACAAAACCUGGGGCAAAGGGCACCAAAUCAAGUGCGAGCCCAGUGAGUGCGAUAUUGCCGAGUCGGGUACGGCUGCAGCCGGGAGCCUCCCGUCUCAUGCCUGGGCGUAUCCAGCGCUACACAUCAGUAUAAUUCAAAAAAAUAACACACUGCGGCUGACACGGUGCACGGUGUGCUGUACCAACUAUCACUGUCCCCUUUGCCCCACUUUAUUGUACAAGCCCCGGUGUAGGGCAAAGGUGUUGCAGCACAUGGCAGUGCAUGUAAAAAAUGCCAUUCAACAUGAAGAUUUCUUCAUAACAAAAUGCCACCAGGCCUGCAGGAGUGGAAGCAGUGGCCACUUCCACUGCCCUAUCUGCCUCAGGACCACAAUAAAAAGGCAGGAUACCCUGAGGCAUUUGCAGAUCUGUAGGCCGCCUCUCCAUGACGCCCAGGUAGACGCUGAUGCUGACUGCAAAGAGGAGGGCAUCACUUCCCAGACCGAGGAGUGCAAAGGAUCUGUGGACCUACCUCAUCUCAGCAAGGACAAACUGCCUGUAUCGGUACAUGAUAGUGAAAUGCAAGAACCAGGAGAUCCAGCAGAGAGACCCCAAGACCCAUCGCUAGAAUCCGUCUUGCUAUUCAGUCCUAGCUUGGACAACCCUCCCUGCAGAGUGCCCCGUGCAAAGCUGCCAAAUGUACUUUGUCCUCACUGCAAUGCGCAGUUCCUAAGAAAAAAUUUAAAGAAGCACCUGUACAGAAAACACUCCGAUAAAGCUGUGGGAGACAUCGCUGCAAAUUCCCAUGCUGAUGUUGAUGAGAGGGAUAACAAAGACGCUGUGAAAAAGUCGUUUCUUGGACCACUUUUGCCACUUGAUCUCCAAAACAAAACCUGGGGCAAAGGGCACCAAAUCAAGCGCGAGCCCAGUGAGUGCGAUAUUGCCGAGUCGGGUACGGCUGCAGCCGGGAGCCUCCCGUUUCAUGCCUGGCAGUAUCCACUGGUACAUGAUAGUGAAGUGCAAGGACCAGGAGAUCCAGCAGAGAGACCCCAAGACCCAUCGCCAGAAUCCAUCUUGGACGACCCUCCCUGCAGAGUGCCACGUGCAAAGCUGCCAAAUGUACUUUGUCCUCACUGCAAUGCGCAGCUCCUAAGAAAAAAUUUAAAGAUGCACAUUUACAGAAAACAUGAGAGGAAUAAGAAAGAUGCUUUAUGCAUUGAUGAGAGGAAUGGUGAUGUCCAAAAGAAAACCUGAGGGAAAGGGCACCAAAUCAAGUGCGAGUCCAGUGAGUGCCAACAGGCCUGGGAGGAAAGGGGAAAGUAAACUGAUAAUGGUAAACUGAUGAUAAGCUGAUAAUAAACACAAUUAAUGUAAGGAAGUGGAAGUGAGGCGGUGUCUAAUUUUGACCCAAACCACAAUCUUUUUUUCUAAACUUAGCUGAGUUUAUUUUAAUUUUUUUUUUUUUACGAGAUGCCAUGCCACCAAAAAAGCAUCCAGCAGAGGCUUAGGAGGUUCUCAGUAUUUAGCGAUCGAUCGACAUGCUGAUUGAGGUUUCUGUUAGACAACAGCAGAUGGCCGUCAUGAGCUUGAUGGAGGAAGUGAAAGCCCCACGCCAUAAAACAUUUGAGUAGGACAAGCGGAUUAUCUUGCUGGACAGGUUGCAACAUUAAGGCUUGUCACCCUCUCCCACGGAGAAAACAAGACGGAUAAACCAGCCAUCAUCAUUCGUUUUGCCAACAGGAAACCUAAAACGCAACCGCUGACACAGGGAAAAUGGCUAAAGGGCACGGAUGUUGUAGUUGAGUGAACACCUGACUAAUACAGAAACACUGACGGUGCUAGAAAAGCCCCACUCUCUAGAAGGAAGAAGAAGAAAAAAUACAAUCCACAUGGACUGCAAACUGCAAAAUAUCUGAAAGCUGAAUGGAACAGCAGUUCUAGUCAUUAGGGACCUGGAGGAGCUGGAUAAAUACCAAUGAGACAAACCAUAAUAAGAUAUGCAGCCUCAAUGGAUGACAUCUGGGAAGAAGAGGAACGUUCUACAGACCAACUGUGCUGAAGCUGCGAGAUGAGUGCAGAGUUUCCGGACGACCACAUUUCUUCAUACCGUACUGGUCUGCUCCUACUCUUAGGGUGCUUUCACAACCUCUUUCACAAGUCUCGGUGACCAGAGCAGACGGAGCAACGCCUCUGGCAAGACGAUGCCUGAUCAUUUCAGUGAAAUGAGAUGGUUUGACCAUGGAGAAUGCAAGACAUAUGCACCAGUCCAGAAAACAGGACCUUCUUCCUGUAUUUACUUUCUUGCUCCCGCCCCCAGACACAUCCGACCAAUAAGAGGAGUGGACGUUCUUGGAUUUUUCCAGGUGUGAAACCAAACCAAACCGAACCGAGGGCAAAUCGCUCCAAGUUUACAAACUCACCAACUGAUUUGGACUAAAGCAAACAGACUACAGGUGUGAAAACACCCUUAGUGAUGUUCUUCUAGUAGUUGCAGUUGUUGUAGUAGUCAUUGUAGGCAUAUACUGUAUGUACAUGUAGUAGUAGUUGCACCUGUAUCCAGUUUUAGUUGUUGUAGUCGAAGUUGUACUACUUUUUAUAUGUUAAAAAAAAGUCAUGGCAUAGUAUGUUACGAAAUAUCUCCUAAAAAAUAUAAAGUAUACAUAAAGUAUAUAUUUGAUUAAUAAAACGGUAUGGUAUGUCAUAGAAAAAGUCACAGUAUAGUAUCUAAAAAAGUCUAUUAAAAGACAUAGUUCAGUGUGUCAUUAACAAUGUAAAAAAAGAAUCACAGUGUAUUAUAUCAGUAUAGUAUAUAGUAACAUUAUGACAAGGAAGACCUUGGACACCCACACAGUUGUUUUCAGGUAUUCUGGCUGAUUAGACCUCUGCCCAGGUUAAAGUGGCCAGAGCAUAGAUGGGAAUUUAUUACAUCACAAAUUUGAUCUACCAGUAAGAAUGAUAAAGAUGUCAUGUGUCCCGCCCUAACAGGUGCCACAGAGCUAACUGGAUGCUCAGGAAGAUGUCAAUCAAUCAGUUCAUACACACCCACACAUGACAUCUUUUUAUCAUUCUUAUUGGUAGAUCAAUUUUAUGACGUAUUUUUGACUUAAUAAAUUCCCAUCUAUGCUCCGGACAGAGGUCUAAUCAGCCAGAAUACCUGAAAACAACUGGGUGGGUGUCCAGGGCCUUAAAGAACACCCACCUUGAAUGAAAUGUCUGUUCAAAAUCCAGGAAUGUUUUGGUGCACUGAUGAUGCCAAAAUGGAGUGGUUGUUUAAAUCAAUGUAUAUAAGCUGGCGACCUUUGUCUGUAAAGCAUGGGAAAAAGGUUUAUUUGUUUAAUAUAUGUAAUUUAUGUUGCUAUUCUGGUAUCUGGUCCUUUGCUGUAAAUAAUGGUGUCUUGUAAGCCCGUUUGGGCUGGGUAUAUAUAUUUUUUAUGCAUGACUCAAUAAUAAUAAAAAAAAAAAA
Perca fluviatilis (European perch) is the source of this 4372-nucleotide RNA transcript. RefSeq lists it as uncharacterized. The transcript is spliced from 12 exons. The record is from RefSeq and is a predicted model, not a curated record. Lineage: Eukaryota; Metazoa; Chordata; Actinopteri; Perciformes; Percidae.